GGACCAGGACUCCUGCUUACAGGUGCUGCUUGCCACCAGAAACUAAGCCAGAUGCCAGAAGCCACAAGCUCCAAACAAGCCCCCAAGGCCCGGUUUUUGACGAGUCUGCUCCAGUUCAGACUCCAUGCUAACCCUCCAGCACAAAAAAAGGAAGUUCAGCUGUGAGAACCAGACCAAACCAGUCUGAGCCAACAUGGACCCCAGCGAUGACCUUUCAGGACUCUCCCCUCAUUAUGAUACUAAAAGCCACACCCAGGGGUGGGGUUUAACAUGCUAAUUAGACACACGGUGUAGGAAGAAGCACUAAGCAUGACCUGUAAGUGCACAAGCCCCCAUACACAACCCCGCCCGGCCCCCUCCCUUCCCGCCUGUUCAGACAGCACCCUUUUCCCACCAAAGUUUCUUUGAAGUUCUUGCCAGCCCCUCCUGGGGAGCCAGCCUGAGGACCCUUCGUUCACACACCUCCUUUUUGGAGCACAGGCCCCAGUACAGCCUUGCCUGGGACUCCUGGGGGGCCUCUCGUCCGGUUCUCCUGCGCAGCGAGCCCAAGGCUGGCUCAGUAAAUGCUGCGGCUCCCCAGGCACCAGGACGAACCCUCCACCCACGCUGGGCUCUGAGAGCCCCUGGGGAGUCGUACCGAGGGGACUGACGCGUCAAAACCAAAGGGAAGACGGCCUGAAUGUGCGCUCAAGGACUGAGACUCCUGAGUGAACGGAAGGGGCACAGAGAACAGAGAACGACACAGGCGGAGACAGAAAGGAGAACAUCGUCAGCUGCAAGCACUAUGGCUUAAUCACACCGAGGGGCCGAUCCGCUGGCCGACAAGGUCAUGCGAUACAGAACGCUAACGUUCCUUUUUCAGUUACCUAAGUCACUUAGUGAGCCUGCGAGAUCUGCCUUCGGUAGUUCAACCACCACCUGCAAACAGAGCGUGGAAAUGAGUGUCCGGGCGCCAGGGUGCAACCUAAGCACAGAGCCGCUCCAAUCAAGACAGCGUGCGGCAUUCGGUGCUGAAUGCGGACCUGCUCCAGACAAGACUGCUCACUGCCUUGAGAACUGGUAUUUAAAUGUCGGGAAUCCCUUUC
Molecule: long non-coding RNA, 1085 nt
Organism: Neofelis nebulosa (Clouded leopard)
Lineage: Eukaryota; Metazoa; Chordata; Mammalia; Carnivora; Felidae
Exons: 2
Source: RefSeq, a predicted model, not a curated record